RNAcentral lists this long non-coding RNA (219 nucleotides) under Musa acuminata (dwarf banana). RNAcentral describes it as "long non-coding RNA (MACU_LNC007032)". Lineage: Eukaryota; Viridiplantae; Streptophyta; Magnoliopsida; Zingiberales; Musaceae. The record is from RNAcentral.
UUGUGUAUGUUGUGUUUGUGUGUUAUGUAUAGUGUGUGUGUUGAGUUGUGUGUUGUGUAUGUUAUGUGUGUGUGUAGUGUGUAUUGUUAUGAGUUUUGAGUGUAUGUGUGUGUUGUAUAUGUUAUGUGUGUGUUAUUUGUGUACUGUGUGUGUUAUGUGUGUAGUGUGUGUGUUAUGUGUUAUGUGUUAUGUGUGUAUGUGUGUGUGGUGUAUUAUAAG